AUUGCAAUUUGUUAGCUUCAUAAACAAUAUAACCAUUAUUACCAAUUGGAAUUACAUAAAACUAAGGAAGAAAGAAUACCCCAUCCAUUAUUUCUAUUUUGACCUAAGGUUUAAAGAGUCACUGACUAUUGACUCUUUAAAAAUGACAUUCAAUCGUUUCCAAAAUAAAUAGAUAAAGCAAAAGAAAUGAGAAUGAAAAUUUUAUAUCAUAUCUGCCAGCCUUCAAGGAUUUGAAUGCACCUAUGCAGUUUUCUCCAACGUUCUUGCCGCGGCUUUGUAAGAAUAUUGUUUCUUUGGUAUCUAAUUACAAGUUUGGUCAUAGAAAAUAAGUUACAAGGUUGAUAACUUAUACCGAGUCACAAAAUAGUUACUAGUAAUUAUAUAUCACGGUCUGAAAAGAUCAUGAACUAUUAAAGGACAUUUUUUCAAUUUCGCUGAAUAGUUCUUUCUUUAACAUUUCAAUUCUUGAAAAAAGAAGUGCUAAUAAAAGAACUUUCACGUUUUUUUCACUGAACAGUGCAGGAAAGAUAAAGAGCAAAUAGUAAAUUUGAAAAGAAAAAUUUUUGAUAGUUGGCCUUGUAUCAGGGAAGAGAUGGUAUUAUUGUUAAUCUAUAACAUGUGACCAACAAAUGACUAAAGACCCUUUCUUAUAAUGUGACAUUGUAAUUCGAAAAUACUUUCAACAAAAAUUAGCUCGUAACAGAUUUCAAAAUUUCCUUCGACGUUUUUCAAACUCUCCAAAAUAAACACAGAAAAAUAAUACUUAAUGAAUUCCAGUACUCUCCAAUACACAAGCAAAGAAAAAUAGUUAUUGCAUUCUUACCAGCUGCCCAAGAUUUUCCUUCUCUGUUUCUUUCUUUUUAUUUAAACCAUUUAUUAUUCUAUUUUAUAGGUAAUGAAUUAAUCAGCGAUGUUCAAUAAAUGGAGGGAUUCUCUUGUAAUUCCGGAAAACCCACAUAAGGUAGCCAGUUUACUAGAUACUAGUAUUAAAAUACUACUCCUUGUAAUUAUUGUUGAUCUACUCAAACAUUAGGCAAAUCACUUUAAUAAACACGAGUUAGUUCUGUAAAAGUCAUUGAACGCUUAUUAUUUUCCUACUCACAUUCAGGUUCCUCUCAUGAACAUCAAAAUUCUCACAAAUCACUUUCUUGCUGUCUCCCAUGCUAUUUCUCCCUUUACUCAGGCCAUUUGCUUCUUCAGGAAUGUCAUAUUUUAUGCUGCUUUUUCUAACAAAUUUUACAUAACUAAACAAGCAAAAUCCACAUGCAAAAACCAACAUUCUUCUUUCCUUCUAAUUAUUCUUAACUAAAAAUGUGACGUGUUUUUAUGUGAGGAUAAAGGAGAAUAAAACGGGGCUUUGCAAGUUGGUUUCUGGAGCAUUUCUUGAACAAGGCGUGCCAUUCUCGUGUGUGCUGCUUCUAGUAUUUCUUUGUCCAUCCGUACAAGUGACAUAAUAGUAUAAAUAAGCAUGUAUCGCAAAGAGACUCCAACCAAAACCAGUUGUCCCUAACAGCUUUUGAUCUGAAGGUUUGGAGUCUGUUCUCUAUUGUAAGUAAUUGCCAUAUAGAGAAAAUUUUAGUGUUCUUUCAAAACUAGUUUUCCUUCAUUCCAUUCCCCUAUUUUGAUCAAAUGAUGAUAUGCUUCCCCUCUUUGGAGAUGGUUAUUUUCUUAAAGUGUAUCGAGUACCCUCUGAAAUGUCCAGGGACUCUCGCUUUCCUUGACUCAAAUAUCAUGAGACAGAGCAGGGGCUAGAUUGGAAUCCAAUCUUAUUGUUGUUUUUCAUUUACAAUUCUAUCUUAUGUUUCCCAUGGAAAUCACUAUUUGAUCAUCUCUAUCUUCUAUAACUUCUUAUUAAUUUUCUGUAAUGUUGCGCGACCUGUCUAUAAACUUACUAUGUGUAUAAUUUUCUGUAAUGCUGUGCGACCUGUGUAUCUUCUAUAUACUUACUAUUUCAUCAUCUGCUCUUUUUUACAUACUAUGUUAGGCUAUGUUUUCCAAAUAUAUCAUGCAAAUACCUUCAUAAUUCUUGAUGGUUCUUCCGUUUCAGGCCAACUCAAGCAUUUGAUUUAUGGAGAAACAGAAUUUAGACCUGUACUGGCAGAAUAUUCAGAUUAUGCGGGAGAAUGACAGGCUAAGGAAGACUGCUCAACGGCUGAGACAGGAGAACCAGGCUUUGUAUACUGAGCUAAAACAGAGACUAGCAGCAGCAAGAAUUAAUCAAAUACCUGAACUUGAACUUACCCUUGGCCCCAGUCCUGCUGCAGACCAAAUGAAAGCAAAGAAACCUCAGCCACCUCCAUGCAGCUGAAGCAAUGCUUGUUUCUGGUCUCGGUCCAGGCUCAAGGUUGUUGGACGUUUAAGCAUGAGUGUUGCUUGUGUUGUCGCAAUUCAGAGAUUUCUGUUGUUUGAAACAAAAAAGUUCAUAGGAAUAAGCACUGAGAAAUAAAGCAUCAACAUAUCUAUAUUACUUGAUGAGAAUCAAUUUGCAGUUCUGUUGUGAUACUUUAAUGUUGCCUGGUCAGUUUCUUCAUCCGGUUUUAACUUUACUAAGUUUUAUAAAAGGCAUAGUUUAUAUCUGUUUGUAAUCUGAAAUGAUCUUUCAUCCUCUAAUAUGCACUUGUGUCAUGGUAUGCAAAUAACAGUAAUAGGAAGAAUUACCAACAGAAGCUGUCGCGAAGAAGGAUAUAAGCCAAAAUUAAGAUGAGCGGUUUGAGACCAGGCAUUGGAAAUUCGUCACAUAAGAUAGCAUGAAACAGACAAUGUUUAUCAAUACUAUGUAAAAUUGCAAUGCGAAGAAUAAGAGAAUGAAAAUAGAAACAAAAGAAAGAAAAAGAAAAAGAUGGACAGUGGUAGUGCUAGGAAAACACCCUAGAAUACUAAUGUCAUGGCCUCACCUCAGGUCUGUAUGUUUACAUAUUGCCGUUAGUUUGUGAAUUAGUUCAUUCCUAUAUUAUUUUCUUUAUAUUGUUAUAGUUACUGAUGAAGCAACACUUAUAGUUUCAUGCGUUUUUUUUACUUGGAAAUAAACUAGUAAAAUAAAUAAACAAUGACACACAUGUAUUAUUUUCUGACCCCUAAUUACUUCAUAUUUUUCACUGAUCAAUUAUCCCCUUUCUAUUAAGAUUUCUCUGGAGAAAACAUAAAUUAAGUACUUUGAUAUAAACAUAGAGAAUACAAGCAAUAUGAGUUCUUUCAAAAGCCACUUGGCAAUACCAUUUAAAAUCAAUAGUGAACUAACCAACAUAAGGUACAUUUUUCUAACAGCAUAUGAAACUACAGGGUAGCUCAGAUUAUUUUUAAAGUUAGAUAUGGCCCUUUAAUUAAGACAAUCUAGCGAGAGGGCAGUGUAGUUUAACACUUUUGUGCAUUCAAAAGCUGUGGAAUCCAAUGCAACCUCACUGGAAGAUUACAGGAACAAGGAGAUUUAGCAAUGAAAACCCACUUUAAGUUCACAGUUAUUACUCCAAAAGCAUGGAUGAAACAUAUUGCUAAUACUCCGAGAAGUUCAUUCUUUAGCAUGCUCCAAUACUAGUCAUUGAAACUAACAUAUACAACAAGAAGCUUUCCAGAUAGAUACAUAGCUUAUUUAUAGAAUCUAUUAAAGAGCAUACCAACUUUCGCACAUAAAUAAGAGAAAUGUUUUACAAAGUAGGAAAAGAACUCUUUGUUUAUAUAUCGAAGACGAGAAAUAUUUACAGAAAAAAAGAUACUAAGAACAAGAGCAACAGUUCACAUUGAAUGCUGAUUUAGCAAAGAUGAUGCAAUAUAACCCAUGGGAGUUCUCAUGGCACAAAAUCUUGGUGCAACAGCAGUGAAUAUCAUGUGCACUUAUGCACACCCCCAACGUAGCCAGGUGAGAUAUAAGAAGCUUUUAAGUAGGUAUUAUCUAUUUCGCUGAUUAGAAAAAGCAGAGAACAUCGGACAAGAUGUGAAGAUGAAGUUUUACCUAAUAUUACAAUAAGAUUAAGUGCAGGCACUAUAUUAUAGACCUUUCAAUAAAGGCAUACAGGGUAUAUAGAUCAAGAAAAGAAUGAUACUGGACAUACAAUGUAAUAUCAAUCUUGAAAAGAAUGAUAGUGGACAAAUGAUAUUUCUACUCUUUGUUGUUGUAUAUAUUCAAUGAUGUAUUAGUAGAUAUUUCUUCAGUUAGCAGAUUUCUACUUAAAAAGAUUUUCCACCAAAAGUCAAAUAUCAGCAAUAAAAAUGUGUCUAAGCUCUAAAUAUCUUUCCUUUUUGAUAAGUAAUGUGUCCAAAAUUUAAUUUGUCAACAUUUUAUCUCAUGCAAAUAACGAUAACAGAAAGAAAGUUCUGCAUUUCGACUGCACCCACUAGUCUAGAGUAUUAGUAAGCAUAAGAACGAGAUGCCUAUUACUCCAAAACAGCAAAUAAAUUUCGUUUUGCAGCUAUAUUGACAUAUAGAAUCUGCACAAUUAAUCAUAACAUAAGUUAGUAGAAAGGAUUCAGAAAAUUCGAGAGAUGUGAAAUAGUACGGCAGACAGACAGUUGAGAUGAUAUAGAGCAAAACAUGCAAUUUGUAACUUUACAAGCAAUUAAUGCGGAUAGAUAAGCUACAGGCUAAUUUUCCUCAUCAAUUAGCACUGUAAAAUAUAGGCUAGUUGUACGAAAGACCUUUUCAGAAAGAAGUUCGGAAACAGGGUGAUGUAUCCAGCAAAUAAACUAUUUCAGAAUUUGCUCAGUCUAUCGGAAGAGGUCUGAGUAUCGGCAGCUCCUGCAAAACCACUUUCAGUAAGGAAAGCAGUUGAAGGAAGAAUCCACCGAAAAACCUUUUAUGUUGCUAAUGAACACAUCCAAACACUAAUAUAAGCAGGAAUAAGAGUUAAUUCAGAUUACUCUUUUUGCACCAGGUAGCAGUUAAAAUACUUUACUGUCACUAUUACUGCCAUUUAUAGCUUGUGACGCCUCUUGUGAAGAUCUUUUGUCGUUAAGCAGCUCAUAAAGAAUAAAGUAAAUAAGGAUCCAAGAGAGUGUUUCCUUGUCCAUAUUCUCGUGCACGUGAAAGGAGGAACAGAAAGUGAUUCCAAUGGACCAUUCACGCCCAUCAAAAGCAAAAUGCCCAGCUCAGCUACUGAAUGCUUUGCUUAGAUAGGUGAUACACUAUCUAAUGUGGAAGACGAUAUAAGACAGGUCUUAUUUCACGCAAAAUGUCUAGAAUCAAAAAAUAAAAAUCCUUAAGAAACAUCUAUGCUUGCAGGAAUGCAUUUUGUAUAAAGAGGCAUUUUAUAGCCAAGCAUAAUGUGAGUCAAAUAUCUCAUGAAUAUUACCAAAAAAGCAAGUGCAUCUAUAUAUCUUCUUUUUUAAUAAUGACAAAAGCAUUUGAAUGUAAUGCACUAGAUAUUGCAAGAGAAACAUGACAAAUGAAGAUUUAGCAUAUAAAAUUGAAAUAGGAUGGCUGAAAUGGAGGAGUACUUACAAUCGUGCUGCACAAUAGGAAGAUGGCCUUCCUCAAAUCAGUUUAUAUCUCCAUAGCGCCACUCUCUACCUAAAGACAUUUUCAAUGUGUCAUAUACUCUUUAUCCACCACCGGAUCCUCAAGGAAAACUUUUGGGCCCAUUAUGACCAUUAGAUUGUAAUUCACCUGCACUUUAUGAACUUAAAAUCAUUUUUCCUGUAAUAAGUAGGAUUUUAAAUUCAUGAAUUUUCAAUUAGUAAGCCAAAAUCUAGAUAUUCCAACCGAACCUUAAAAUACAUGAACUUAAAAGGGCAGAAGAGUGAAUGCUAAUGAGAGUCAAAACCUUCUUAAAGAGAGUCAAAUUCUUCAGAUGGCAAGUACAUGAUCAUUGCCAGGCAAUAUGAAUUCAUAACUAUGCUCCCUCAUGACUAAUAUUUGCCAUCUCCACCUAAUUUAAGAUGUAGGAAUCACCGCUCAACAAAUAUCACUGUAUUUAAUGCGAAGUUCUUUUUGUACUUCCAAUAUUCUACUACCGAGACACCUUCUUCAAUAUUUCCUUUGUUUUAUUUUAUAUGACACUGAUACUAUUUGGGGAUCAAACAGUUCUUCCUUUGACUAUAAAUUUGUUCAUAUUCUUUAAUAGUAUGCUGAAUUACAAAAUAAUUUGUGACUUAUAGUACUAUUAAUGUAGUUUCUAAAUAUGUUUUAAUUCAAUAAAUUAAAGAAUUCAUGUCUAAUUAAACUGGAUACUGUCGCCCUAGCAUUUCAAAAUUCGUCAUUCUUUUUGAAACGGAUUAUUUGGAAAGACUAAAAUACUUUGAAAUGUAACUUCAUUUCAACUUUUAGCAACUCCCUUCAUUCCAAUUUUUAUGAAAGUUUUUCCAUUUCAGGAUGUGCCAAAACGUCUAUAUUAGACUAUUCAUCUUUUCAACUUUGAUCGAUGUUUUCUCCACUAAACUAUCUUUUCAACCAUUACUUCAAUAUUUUUCUUCCACAAUCACUAAUACAAUAUACAAGUUAAGUAGUUUCUUAACUAUGUGGAGCACUAAAAAAAGGCAGCGCGGUGCACUAAGCUCCCGCUAUGCGAACGUCCGGGAGCCGAACCAUAAGGGUCUAUCGUAAACAGCCUUACACUACAUUGGAAAGUAAGGAGUAGGAUUUGUAACAUACUCCAAAUGAUGAAUGCCGCAAAAGGUUUCAGGUAACUAUGCAUCCCUUAAUUACAUACCUCCAUAAUACAAACUGAAAACCAACUCAAAAGUAGAAACAUUACCGUAAGAUUGUCAGCAAGAAGCAAACCGGUGGAGUAACGGAGACUAACAGCGGUGGGUACGAACGACUGAGCGGUAAAGCAAUAACAACACGGCAGCACUUCGACGUCGUUGGUUUCUCCAGAACAUCUCUACUCUCUAGUGAAGUGACGGUUGAAAAUCGCUUGCACUUGUGUACUCAUACUUUUAUAGUGAUUUCACUUUUUUACAGGAGUUUGAUUAAUUUAUUGAAAGGGGAAUAUGAAGUUUUGGAAAGAAGAAACAGGAUUUGGGGUGUUCGGAGAAAAAUAUUUUUCUUGAAAUGGUUUUGUC
RNAcentral lists this long non-coding RNA (6993 nucleotides) under Nicotiana tabacum (common tobacco). RNAcentral's name for it is "long non-coding RNA (NTAB_LNC004768)". The record is from RNAcentral. Lineage: Eukaryota; Viridiplantae; Streptophyta; Magnoliopsida; Solanales; Solanaceae.